Oncorhynchus mykiss (rainbow trout) is the source of this 901-nucleotide long non-coding RNA. RefSeq lists it as uncharacterized. Lineage: Eukaryota; Metazoa; Chordata; Actinopteri; Salmoniformes; Salmonidae. The record is from RefSeq and is a predicted model, not a curated record.
CUAUCUGUUUGUUCAUCUGUCCUCCCUGGCAUGCAGUUUACCCUAGUAGAGACUGCCUUGUUGCAGCAAAUUAGUGUUAACUGGGAGGAGGAGGCCACUCAUACAGACUGACUUGGCUUUGGCAGCUCCAAGCAGGAACUAAACUGAGACUGAGGGGGAUAUCCAUUCCACGGGCAAAGAGGAGGAACAGGCUCUCACUUUCUCAAAUUAUUCAAACUUGCUACAUCUGAAGACUAGGAUGGCCAGUUGUGGGUCGUGUUUCUGGAGCAUCGUGUGGCUGGUGAUUUUGCUGAUCAUAGCCUGGCCAGUCAGUAUUUUGCUGGGGGGGCUUUACGGCCUCAUCACCCCCCUCACCACCUGUGUGGGCCUGGACCGCCUGUCAGACUUGCUUCUGGAGGGGGCCAACCUGGGUCGGACCUGCGCCCAGAACAUGAGACACAGCAAGGCAGUGUGUUGAGACCAGACUGGACCAGAUGCUGGUCCUGGAAGUGACUGCCGGUUCUCAUCCUGUCGCAAGAGGAAUAGUCAGUGUAACAGUUACUGUUCACGCCAAAGGCCAUUGUGUUGUUUGUCUUGUCACGCUAUUGAGGUGUUAAUAUCUCACACUCCAAAGUCAGCCAGACACUAGGAAAACUUGCACUUACCAAACUUUUAACAAAAUAAUUAUGCUCACUCAAUCAAUGUGUCAUUAACAAUAGAUGUUAUUUUUUGUUUGGGUUGGUCUACUCUACAACUUGAAAUACAAAUACUUUGUAUUCAUAACCUGUAUUUGCUGUUUUUAAUUCAGAAUGACCCCCUGCACAGGGCAGAUAAGAAUGUUCAACAGCUUAACUUUAACAAUAUGACUUCAUUUUUUAUGAUUUAAACUUAAUGCAAUUAAAUUAUUUUUGAACUUGCCUAA